AGAUUGAACGGCUGGCGGCAGGCCUAACACAUGCAAGUCGAACGGUAGCACAGAGAGCUUGCUCUUGGGUGACGAGUGGCGGACGGGUGAGUAAUGUCUGGGAAACUGCCCGAUGGAGGGGGAUAACUACUGGAAACGGUAGCUAAUACCGCAUAACGUCGCAAGACCAAAGUGGGGGACCUUCGGGCCUCACACCAUCGGAUGUGCCCAGAUGGGAUUAGCUAGUUGGUGAGGUAAUGGCUCACCAAGGCGACGAUCCCUAGCUGGUCUGAGAGGAUGACCAGCCACACUGGAACUGAGACACGGUCCAGACUCCUACGGGAGGCAGCAGUGGGGAAUAUUGCACAAUGGGCGCAAGCCUGAUGCAGCCAUGCCGCGUGUAUGAAGAAGGCCUUCGGGUUGUAAAGUACUUUCAGCGAGGAGGAAGGCAUUAAGGUUAAUAACCUUAGUGAUUGACGUUACUCGCAGAAGAAGCACCGGCUAACUCC
This 488-nucleotide ribosomal RNA is filed under the name Kluyvera sp. Tf 247. Its description in RNAcentral is "bacterial SSU rRNA". It matches the Rfam family "Bacterial small subunit ribosomal RNA", at positions 35 to 504 of the family's 1533-position model. Lineage: Bacteria; Pseudomonadati; Pseudomonadota; Gammaproteobacteria; Enterobacterales; Enterobacteriaceae. The record is from RNAcentral.